This 500-nucleotide ribosomal RNA is filed under the name uncultured bacterium. RNAcentral describes it as "partial 16S ribosomal RNA". It matches the Rfam family "Bacterial small subunit ribosomal RNA", at positions 30 to 523 of the family's 1533-position model. The record is from RNAcentral.
AUUGAACGCUGGCGGCAUGCUUUACACAUGCAAGUCGGACGGUAACAGGGUGCUUGCACCGCUGACGAGUGGCGAACGGGUGAGUAAUGCGUCGGAACGUGCCGAGUAGUGGGGGAUAACGCAGCGAAAGUUGUGCUAAUACCGCAUACGUACUGAGGUAGAAAGUGGGGGACCUUCGGGCCUCACGCUAUUCGAGCGGCCGACGUCUGAUUAGCUAGUAGGUGAGGUAAAGGCUCACCUAGGCGACGAUCAGUAGCGGGUCUGAGAGGAUGAUCCGCCACAAUGGGACUGAGACACGGCCCAGACUCCUACGAGAGGCAGCAGUGGGGAAUUUUGGACAAAGGGCGAAAGCCUGAUCCAGCCAUGCCGCGUGUCUGAAGAAGGCCUUCGGGUUGUAAAGGACUUUUGUCAGGGAGGAAAUUCCUAGUGCUAAUAACACUGGGGGAUGACAGUACCUGAAGAAUAAGCACCGGCUAACUACGUGCCAGCCGCCGCCGUAA